Molecule: long non-coding RNA, 893 nt
Organism: Cryptomeria japonica (Japanese cedar)
Lineage: Eukaryota; Viridiplantae; Streptophyta; Pinopsida; Cupressales; Cupressaceae
Exons: 3
Source: RefSeq, a predicted model, not a curated record
CUGAUUCGUUAUUGAAAAUGACAAUGAAAUAUCCCAGUGCAGGAAUGCAGUUCAUAUUUCUUUUUUGUUUUCCAGUGUUUUCUAGCCAAGAAGUACAAAUCUGCCAGGGAUAGUUCGACACCAAGGAAUCUAUAGAUCAAAUUCCUACCAUCCAAAGUAGAAACAUUGCUUAUCACCUCCCACCAUAACUGCAUCAAUUUCUUUCUCCAAUGUGAAAUAACCAGACCUCUCACCAUAUUUCUGAAUGAGUGAGGGGGAAUUUUCCCCUAACCUGGCAUCAUAGGGAAAAUCCAGAGAAACAAAGAAUCGAGGAAACCAAAAGCUCAAAGCAAACUCACCAGAAUUAGCAAAAUCUGGAAACCCUAGCAAAGGGCACGGGGAUAGUUAUAUUCCUGGCAUGGAGACUGUAAUUGCUACAACUAGUGGCUACAAUGGAAGGGAAAAAACCGAGCUCAUUGAACUAAUUAUUGAAACUGGUGCAACAUAUACUGGUAGCCUCACAAAGAGUAACACACAUGUGGUUUGAUGGGAGUUUCAAGGAUAUAGAUUUGCGCUGGCAAAAAAUCUCAGGCUAACCAUAGUUAACCACAAGUGGUUUGAAGAAUGCUUGCAGGCAGGAAAGCACGUUACUGAGAGUCCUUACAUUACGUGCUGGUAAAACUGAGUCUUAAAUGGCAGUUUGAAAUGCAUUUUAUCUCAGAGUGAAGGCCUCCUCAGUCCACAUUCUAUAAACAAAUCAAAUUCUGGAUAUGUCCUGUUUUCACAUCAAUUGAUCCAUUGUUGGGAGAAAGUGCAUCAAUUGAUGCAAUCCAAAAUGUUAGCUUAUCUGAUUUGUAAUACUAAGAUCAUAUCCAGAAUUGAAUUUGUACUUUUCUCAUUUGUGUGCUAUGAAA